This 181-nucleotide non-coding RNA is filed under the name Chthoniobacterales bacterium. RNAcentral describes it as "6S RNA". It matches the Rfam family "6S / SsrS RNA". Rfam says of the family: E. coli 6S RNA was the first non coding RNA to be sequenced, but its function was unknown until recently. It consists of 184 nucleotides that fold into an extended hairpin structure with a large single-stranded internal bulge. The record is from RNAcentral. Lineage: Bacteria; Pseudomonadati; Verrucomicrobiota; Spartobacteria; Chthoniobacterales.
UUUGCCCUGGAGAGUUCGAGUAAACGAUUCAAGCCCCGAACCGUAUUAUAUCAUCCCAGGAGGCUGAGCUGUGGCCGGCAAGGACAUGCCUUCGUUGGAAGUCCGCGCUGGCCGCGGCGGUCGUCCGCCCUUGUCUUCAAGGGAUCGGGAAUUGGGUCGUGACGGCUCACCUGGGGCAAUA